CUUGGUGGCUAGAGCGAGGCGGUACCACCCGUUCCCAUCCCGAACACGGAAGUGAAACGCCUCAGCGCAGACGAUACUGGAGGGGCAACCUUCUGCGGAAAAUAUGCCGCCGCCAAGG
This 118-nucleotide ribosomal RNA is filed under the name Chloroflexota bacterium. The record is from RNAcentral. Lineage: Bacteria; Bacillati; Chloroflexota.